RNAcentral lists this ribosomal RNA (253 nucleotides) under uncultured bacterium. RNAcentral's name for it is "partial 16S ribosomal RNA". It matches the Rfam family "Bacterial small subunit ribosomal RNA", at positions 524 to 776 of the family's 1533-position model. The record is from RNAcentral.
UACGAAGGGGGCUAGCGUUGUUCGGAUUUACUGGGCGUAAAGCGCACGUAGGCGGAUCGUUAAGUCGGGGGUGAAAUCCUGGAGCUCAACUCCAGAACUGCCUUCGAUACUGGCGAUCUAGAGUCCGGAAGAGGUGAGUGGAACUCCUAGUGUAGAGGUGAAAUUCGUAGAUAUUGGGAAGAACACCGGUGGCGAAGGCGGCUCACUGGCUCGUAUCUGACGCUCAGGCGCGACAGCGUGGGGAUCAAACAGG